Molecule: unclassified non-coding RNA, 395 nt
Filed under: soil metagenome
Description: partial contains 5.8S ribosomal RNA, internal transcribed spacer 2, and large subunit ribosomal RNA
Rfam family: 5.8S ribosomal RNA (bases 1-120)
Source: RNAcentral
GAUGAAGAACGUAGUGAAAUGCGAUAAGUAAUGUGAAUUGCAGAAUUCAGUGAAUCAUCGAAUCUUUGAACGCACCUUGCGCCUUUUGGUAUUCCGAAAGGCACACCUGUUUGAGCGUCUUGAAUACCUCAAUCUCCAUCUUUUCUUCGGAUUGAUGGGUGACUUGGAUGUUGAGCCCUGCUGGUAUGCUAUAUCAGCUGGCUUUAAACUUAUUAGCCGGCUCUGUACUGGAUCGGUUUGACUCGACGUGAUAAUAUUAUCGUUGAGGAUGCAUGUCUCAUGCAGCCGGAAAGUAUCAAAGCAGCUUCUAGCUUGCCUUUAGUGCACUUUUACAUUUUAGACCUCAGAUCAGGUGGGACUACCCGCUGAACUUAAGCAUAUCAAUAAGCGGAGGA